This 478-nucleotide ribosomal RNA is filed under the name uncultured bacterium. Its description in RNAcentral is "partial 16S ribosomal RNA". It matches the Rfam family "Bacterial small subunit ribosomal RNA", at positions 28 to 523 of the family's 1533-position model. The record is from RNAcentral.
GACGAACGCUGGCAGCGUGCUUAACACAUGCAAGUCGAACGGUAAGGCCCUUCGGGGUACACGAGUGGCGAACGGGUGAGUAACACGUGGGUGAUCUGCCCUGCACUUCGGGAUAAGCCUGGGAAACUGGGCCUAAUACCGGAUAGGACCACUGCCUGCAUGGGUGGUGGUGGAAAGCUUUUGCGGUGUGGGAUGGGCCCGCGGCCUAUCAGCUUGUUGGUGGGGUGAUGGCCUACCAAGGCGACGACGGGUAGCCGGCCUGAGAGGGUGACCGGCCACACUGGGACUGAGAUACGGCCCAGACUCCUGCGGGAGGCAGCAGUGGGGAAUAUUGCACAAUGGGCGCAAGCCUGGUGCAGCGACGCCGCGUGAGGGAUGACGGCCUUCGGGUUGUAAACCUCUUUCAGCACCGACGAAGCGCAAGUGACGGUAGGUGCAGAAGAAGGACCGGCCAACUACGUGCCAGCCGCCGCCGUAA